AAAUCUUACCGGGUCCGGACACACUGAGGAUUGACAGGAAUUAUCGUGUUUUAAAAAUCUUCUUCGGAAUUUUUUUUUUCACGUGUUAAAUAUGCUAGUCCUUUCAUGAUUAUGUGAUAGGUGGUGCAUGGCCGUUCUUAGUUCGUGGAGUGAUCUGUCUGCUUAAUUGCGUUUCACAACGAGCUUACACUAUAACGCAUUGUUUGUGAGGUAGUCUGACCCCUUGGCUUCGGCCACAGCGCGUGUCUUUCUGCCAUCAUCACAUCAUGCUUCGUAAAGCUCUGAAAGCAACGAACGUGACCGCAACCUCUUGUUGCCUGUAUUACAAACUGACGUCUCAUUUUUUAAAUGUGCGUUAUAUAAACAGGCCUUAUAUUAAUAAACUAGAGGGACCGCUGCUUUUUCCUUAAACCAGAGGAAGGUUGCGGCAAUAA
RNAcentral lists this ribosomal RNA (434 nucleotides) under uncultured marine eukaryote. Its description in RNAcentral is "partial 18S ribosomal RNA". It matches the Rfam family "Eukaryotic small subunit ribosomal RNA", at positions 1210 to 1456 of the family's 1831-position model. The record is from RNAcentral.